CACUCUUAAAAAUAGGUGUGUUGCAAAACACACAAAAUUGUGUUAUAUAGCACGUUAAGUGUGUUAUACAACACAUUUUACUCUUGAGAUUCGACAUAACACACCUUUGUGAGUUAAAUAACACACACAUGUGGGUUAUAUAACACACAGUGUAUAGUGCUAAACACACAGCAAUGGAGGUGAAUGUGUUAGAUAACACACUUUCAGAAAAACACACCUUUUGUACUGUGUUAGUUAGCACACCCUUUCUAUGAAACGUGUGUUAAUUAACCCAAGUUUAAAGAUAAACACACUUAAAUAGAAAAACACACUGCACAGAAUAAACACACUUAACCAACAAACACACUUUUCCAAAACACACAUCUUAAACUAACACACUUUUAUAAAACACGCUUUAUAGUAGCAAGCCUGAUCGCAGGCUAUACGGCUCGCGCGAUUACAGGUAUCGGCAAAUUACUAUUGCCAAAUUGGUAAACAUUUAGAGAUUUAUACAUUAAUUCGAGUAUUUAAAGCCCGUGGUCAAGUCCGUAUUGUUUACAUUUUGAAGUGCUAUAUUUGUAAAAUAAGACUAACACUUUUCUGGUUCGCAAUUGUAAAUGAAUAUAAACUAGAGUACAUUUCAAUUCAAAAAAGUUCAAGGUCAAGAUGCAAAAAUUGGGCAAUUUUUAUAUCUGUGGAGUGUUGGUCCCCUUUGUUAUGAGCAGAACGGACUUGAUAUGGUCUUUAAUACUGAAACAAUCAAAUAUUAUUUACUGGCUGAUUAACCAUUUCACAAAGGAAACAUUUGAAUUCAGAAGUGUUCACUGGAUAGUAUAACAGAAAUAGUUCCCAUGUAUCAUGUGUGUCAUACAUAUUGGAAACUGGAAAGUUAAAAGUAUGCGAGCAGCACAAGCAAUCAAAAUUGGACCUCAAAAUAUUGCAUUUCAAAUUUUAUAACAUAACAUUGUAACAC
Non-coding RNA from Paramuricea clavata, 952 nucleotides. The record is from the annotation of a GenBank genome assembly. NCBI's taxonomy places the organism in Eukaryota, Metazoa, Cnidaria, Anthozoa, Malacalcyonacea, Plexauridae.